GGGAGUGAAUGGGUCCUGGUGGGCCUCCUGGUCUUCAAAACCAGUCGCGGGGCGAGAAACCCCGGGUGGGUUCGAUUCCCACGCACUCCC
This 90-nucleotide transfer RNA is filed under the name Desulforudis audaxviator. Its description in RNAcentral is "Candidatus Desulforudis audaxviator tRNA-Sec". It matches the Rfam family "Selenocysteine transfer RNA". The record is from RNAcentral. RNAcentral also lists the same sequence under 1 other name. Lineage: Bacteria; Bacillati; Bacillota; Clostridia; Thermoanaerobacterales; Desulforudaceae.